AUUGAACGCUGGCGGCAGGCCUAACACAUGCAAGUCGAAUGGUAACAGGAAACAGCUUGCUGUUUCGCUGACGAGUGGCGGACGGGUGAGUAAUGUCUGGGAAACUGCCUGAUGGAGGGGGAUAACUACUGGAAACGGUAGCUAAUACCGCAUAACGUCGCAAGACCAAAGAGGGGGACCUUCGGGCCUCUUGCCAUCAGAUGUGCCCAGAUGGGAUUAGCUAGUAGGUGGGGUAACGGCUCACCUAGGCGACGAUCCCUAGCUGGUCUGAGAGGAUGACCAGCCACACUGGAACGGAGACACGGUCCAGACUCCUACGGGAGGCAGCAGUGGGGAAUAUUGCACAAUGGGCGCAAGCCUGAUGCAGCCAUGCCGCGUGUAUGAAGAAGGCCUUCGGGUUGUAAAGUACUUUCAGCGGGGAGGAAGGGAGUAAAGUUAAUACCUUUGCUCAUUGACGUUACCCGCAGAAGAAGCACCGGCUAACUCCGUG
This 490-nucleotide ribosomal RNA is filed under the name uncultured bacterium. Its description in RNAcentral is "partial 16S ribosomal RNA". It matches the Rfam family "Bacterial small subunit ribosomal RNA", at positions 30 to 507 of the family's 1533-position model. The record is from RNAcentral.